Molecule: long non-coding RNA, 3657 nt
Filed under: Daucus carota (carrot)
Lineage: Eukaryota; Viridiplantae; Streptophyta; Magnoliopsida; Apiales; Apiaceae
Description: long non-coding RNA (DCAR_LNC005646)
Source: RNAcentral
AUGGAAACCACUACAUAUUAUACAAAAAAAGAUUAAUGCCAAAAUCAUCGAAAAUCAAAUAUAUUUUGACUACAUUUCCUUGUACACAUAUGAGUUAUAGUAGGCUAGAUUCAUGUAUCUAGAUGGAAGUUGGGUCAUAUUCAUUCUCGGUGUCUCUUGUCAAAAUACAAUGACACGCAAUAAGAAGUAAACAAAAAACCUUGAUCAGAUGUUGAAAAAAAGUUAAUAUAAAUCUUCACACGGUGAGCAUCCGAUAAUGGCCUAGACGAAUGAUCUCUAUUCAGCAGCUGCAAGGAAAACUCAAUCAUAAAAAAAAAGCUCAAUAAAUGCAUUAUAUGCAUCAUAAUCACUAUCAACGCGAAAGGAAAUUAUGCAAAAAUAAUGUCAAAAAAAUUAAUUACAAAAUAUCAUGUCAUCUAUACAAUAUAAAAAACUUAAAAACUGGAACAAAAAUACAAAAAAAUAGAACAUACACCAAUGCACUGAUUUCACGCAAGACACGUAUCAAAGCAAUUGACACGUACCCCUGCCAGCUUGGUCUCGGACUGAAUUUGACAGAUUAACGAACAAAAUCACAGAUAAAAAUGAUCCAGAUAAAUACCAAAAUAAUUUUUAAAAUCUCCAAAAUAAUUAAAAACUAAUAAAAUAUGAUUUUCAUGAUUUUUGGAUCAUUUUUGAAAUUAAUAGAAACACCCCACUUUAAUCUACAUAGAAAAUCAUUUAGAGCUGAAAAAUUAACAAAAUGUGAUUUUAUGAAUUUUAUAAAUCUCUAAAAAUAUUUAAUGAAAUUAUAAACCGAUAAAAAUGAUUUUAUAGGCAAUACACAAUUUUACAAAAAUCCAAUCACUAUAAAUCCAUAACAAGUAGAAAUCGAUAACACAGCUCAACAAUCCGAUAGAAAUAAAAUACACUGACUUUCGAGAAUACAAUCACAUAAUAAUCAUUUAGAAUUUUCAAAGUAAUAUAUGAAAUUCAUUUAUGAAGAAACAAUUAUAUACCAACAACACAAUAACCCGGAGUUUAAAUAUAACAUUUUGAAAAUUGAAAUGGAAUAAAAUAUUAAAUCUCAUUCCCUUCCUUUAAGAAAAUCACUUUCAUGAUAAUAAAUAGAUUUUAAAAAUUCAGGUCAUUACAAUCUACCCUCCUUAUAAGGAUUCCGUCCUCGGAAUCAAAGAAAGAAGGAGGACACGUAAUCUACUAAUCCACGAAACAUAUAUAGACCAUCACACAAUAUUCAAUUAAAUACAACCAUAAUAUAUAAACAAAUUAGAUCUAUAAUAAUCAUAUCCGAAUUAGAGAUCUGGAAUAUUACAUUCUACCCCCCUUUCAAAGAUUCUGUCCUCAGAAUUCGCGAAUAGAACUAAAACAUACACGCUUCGCAAUAUCGUAUCGUCAUCCACUGUUGAUUAACCUUGGCAUACCCUCACUUUAAGGGAAUAGGAAUCUUAAAUUUUUCGCAAAUGCAGAAUUAACUUCCUGGAAUAAAUCUUUGAGGAUUUGGCCAUAGAAAAAAAAAAUGUUUUCAAAGUAGGUUUCAUCUGAAUAAACGAGUGACUGAGAGAUCAAUAUGAUCCAACGAACUUAGUGUUGCGUGCCCAUAUUAGACACUACUAAAGGUUAUUAGCCUUCUUGUAAUCACAACACACACAAGUGAUGGCGUCCCAUCAAACUUCUAUCACACAGACAGAUGGUCCUUGUGUCCCCUAUAAUAGGGUUGUUCAUCUCAGUUAGAGUUGCAAAUAUGAAAAUUUCAAGAUCCACCAACAAUGAUUGACUUUUGAGAAAUGAAUCUUAAAUACGAACCUUAAGAGUUAAAAUUGAAUAGCUUCCAAAGAUACAAAUUUUUGACAAAAGGACUUCAUGAAUGUCUUUAUAGAAGAGAUAUUAAAACAAUUCACUGACUGUGAAAAUGCUCAAUAAAAUCAAUAUUGAGGAUGGUAUUGCCAAGGCUAUCACAUAUGUCUUCUCGAUCGAUUCUUCUGAUAACUCGUUUCGAUUCUACGAUAAAUAUUAUUAACUUAUAUUCACCUUCGUAGAUCCCGUCACCAAUAUCCACGUUAGGUAGAACACCUGUCGAGCUUGAUACUUUCAGAAGUCAUAUCCAACUUUGCACAAUCAGCAGUGUAGAGCAUUGAGGUUGUAACCUACUCAUAAUACUAUAUCGAGUAGUCUACCACUCUUUCUAUAUAAUUUUCAAAUAAAGAACUAUACACUUGGCCUCUCACAAUGAUCCAUCAAAUCUCAUAUUCCUUCUAUAUGACUUCAUAAGAAUACUAGAUGACCCUCGAACAAAUACUCAAAAAGUGGUAGAGAUGACAAGGAACACUCAAGACUAGAUAGGUCAAUACACAAGUCUAGCUGCCUCUGGUUACUCAGAAAGUCAAACUCAAGUUCAAAAAGAUUGAAAACUAAAGGUUCCAUCAUGUCCCUGAAAUCCAACUCACUAGUUCUCGAAUUAGAAACUAGGAUAUCCCAAAUGAUUACUUGAAAUCAAUGCUCCAAUAUCUACCUCAAUUCUAUCAACAAAGACUAUACCAAAUAGUCUUGACUUAUCUCUAGCUGAGGUCCCACUAAACACAAUCCUAAUACAACCUACAUUCUGAUUUCAAUAACUUAUAACCUGUAGCUCUGAUACCAACUGUGACAGCCCUCAAAUCCGGGGGUCUAGAUUUGGUGCCACUAAAAGAAAACCAAUUGAAAAUCUGUAUGUUUUUUUUUUUUUUAAAAAAAGCAAAAACAAGUAUUUCAAACCUGGAUAUUAAAAAAAAUGAUUUACCCUUUCGAAACAUGUAUUGUUGAAAAGCUAAUAAAAAUCAAAGAAUUUAAAACCUAAAAGCUUUAAUAAAAGAUUUAAAAAAAAACAAAGUUUAACCCCCUUUAAAACAGGAUCGCAAACAGGCUAUAUUAUUGAAAUCAGAAAAGUAAAACUAAUAAAUCUUAUUACAUGUUUUUACAACUAAAACAAGUUUAGACAACUCUAAUUACCACUAGUCCCAAAGACUCGAUCUUGGAUACUCUUCCUGACCAUCAGGUUGAAACUUAGUCACUUGCAAUCCUCGCCUAGCCUUACUCUUAUGCUUAGCCUAAAUAGGCGAACCAUCUUUAACAUUAUCUGAAAGGGGUUAGAAGAAAUAGCAAGAAUGAGCAAAAGAAUGCUCAGCAAGUAUAUAAUAUCCAAACCAACAAUAAAUCAAACAGUAUGUAAAAUCUGACAAUGAUAUAAAGAUAAUGAUACCAACACAAUAUGAUUUAAACAAAACAGUUUCUCCUUUAUGGAAUUGGAACCAGAUAAGACGCUACGAGCUAAGCUGGGUGAUCAGCCCACGACAUAGCUCCGAACCCGCAUAUUCAAUACGAGUUCUCAAAUAUAAAGGAUCCUAGGCACACUUUGGCCUUUAAUAAUUCAAUUGGGACCGGCGCCUCGGUCAUAAAACAUUUUCAUCCAAUUCCCUUUCUAAAACAGAUAAAUCAAAUCAUUUUUCAUUUUAAGACCUAUUUUAUGAAAACUAAUCCACUUCUAACAAUUUAAAUCAACAGACAACUGAAUCAACAGAACAGAAUCAUAAUCAUUAUCAGCAACAGAAAUAUUUCAAAUCAACUUUUGGGAAUCAACAUUUCAUAAACCACAGUCUGUCUUUUGAUAAAUCAUAGUUCAGG